Molecule: long non-coding RNA, 736 nt
Filed under: Mytilus galloprovincialis (Mediterranean mussel)
Lineage: Eukaryota; Metazoa; Mollusca; Bivalvia; Mytilida; Mytilidae
Source: RNAcentral
UCUUUAUAUAUCUUUAUAUCCCAGUACUAUAUCAAAAUACCGUAAUAACCUAUCAACAAUUUAAUUACCCAUAUACUCAAAUAUUUUCUAUAUUCCUGAAUACACUAAUACACUUGGUCCUUUGCAGGCAAAAUAUACAUAAGAAAAAAAAUCAAACUAACAAAACUGAUCUGCUGAAAAUAUACAAUAAUCCUUUAUAAAUAUAUUACUGGACAAACAAGGAAAAAAUUAUGAAAUUAUAUGUAAAUCUAGUAAAUGAAUAAUAAUAAUAGUUAAUAUUCAAGCCAAAUAUACUGUAUAAAUAUAAAAAUAUCAAUAAAUAUGAUAAUGGUGGAGUCCUUCGUUAAUGAUCCGACUAGAUAACAUUACUAAUGGAUGACAGCUGUUUGAAAUCAGGUAAAUAUCUUCAGUAAUUCAGAAACUACCAUUCAUUGGUUGACAAUUCAACAAAUUUAUUUCAAUUUCCAAAUAUAAAAAUCCACUGAUGACCUUUUUGUUAAAUAAGUUUUUUUCCAAGUAAAGAAAGAAAAGUGGGGUUAAAGGUAUAUAUUUUGACAUAGGCAUGGGAGUCAAGAUGGAUAUAUAUUUUUCAAAUUAAUACAAAAUUGGUUUUUUAUAAAGUUAAGCUAAAAUAAAAUGUAUUUGCAUGAUAAGAAUUAUUAAUAUUAAAUUUUACAUAUUCACUAAAGAAGUAAAUAUAAACAAUCUAAAUAACAAACUUGUACAUAUGUAAACA